RNAcentral lists this ribosomal RNA (401 nucleotides) under uncultured bacterium. Its description in RNAcentral is "bacterial SSU rRNA". It matches the Rfam family "Bacterial small subunit ribosomal RNA", at positions 356 to 774 of the family's 1533-position model. The record is from RNAcentral.
CGGGAAUUUUGGGCAAUGGGCGAAAGCCUGACCCAGCAACGCCGCGUGAGGGAUGAAGUAUUUCGGUAUGUAAACCUCGAAAGAAUGGGAAGAAUAAAUGACGGUACCAUUUAUAAGCUCCGGCUAACUACGUGCCAGCAGCCGCGGUAAUACGUAGGGAGCAAGCGUUGUUCGGAUUUACUGGGCGUAAAGGGCGCGUAGGCGGCGCGGUAAGUCACUUGUGAAAUCCCUGAGCUUAACUCAGAACGGCCAAGUGAUACUGCUGUGCUAGAGUGCGGAAGAGGCAACCGGAAUUCUUGGUGUAGCGGUGAAAUGCGUAGAUAUCAAGAGGAACACCUGAGGCGAAGGCGGGUUGCUGGGCCGACACUGACGCUGAUGCGCGAAAGCCAGGGGAGCAAACG